GGGGGUUUGGCUCAGAGGUAGAGCAUCCGCUUUGCAUUCGAGGUUCUAUCUUGAAGAUUGCGGAAGGUCGCGAGUUCGAUUCUUGCAACCUCCA
This is a non-coding RNA of Trichodelitschia bisporula, 94 nucleotides long. The record is from the annotation of a GenBank genome assembly. NCBI's taxonomy places the organism in Eukaryota, Fungi, Ascomycota, Dothideomycetes, Phaeotrichales, Phaeotrichaceae.